This 464-nucleotide ribosomal RNA is filed under the name uncultured bacterium. RNAcentral describes it as "partial 16S ribosomal RNA". It matches the Rfam family "Bacterial small subunit ribosomal RNA", at positions 339 to 795 of the family's 1533-position model. The record is from RNAcentral.
CUACGGGAGGCACCAGUGGGGAAUAUUGGACAAUGGGGGCAACCCUGAUCCAGCAAUGCCACGUGUGUGAAGAAGGCCUUAGGGUUGUAAAGCACUUUCAGGAAGGAGGAAAGGUAUUAGAUUAAGAGUUAAAUACUGUGACGUUACUUUCAGAAGAAGCACCGGCAAACUCCGUGCCAGCAGCCGCGGUAAUACGGAGGGUGCGAGCGUUAAUCGGACUUACUGGGCGUAAAGGGUCCGUAGGCGGAUAUAUAAGUCAGAUGUAAAAGUCCAGGGCUCAACCUUGGGAUGUCAUUUGAAACUGUGUAUCUAGAGUAUAGGAGAGGAAAGGGGAAUUUCUGGUGUAGCGGUGAAAUGCGUAGAUAUCAGAAGGAACAUCAAUGGCGAAGGCAACUUUCUGGCCGAAUACUGACGCUGAGGGACGAAAGCAUGGUUAGCGAACAGGAUUAGAUACCCGAGUAGUC